UAGGUGAUCUCAAUUCAACAUCGAGGUGAUAAACCUUGUCUUCGAUAAGGACUCUUUGACAAGAUUAUCCUGUUAUCCCUAAAGUAGCUUUUAUUUUUUGAUCGUUAGAUUAUUUUUAGACAUUUUAACGGGUCAUUAUAACCUACUUUGUAACUGUUAAAUAUAUAGAUUAAACAGUAAAUUUUUUAUUAAUGUAGUUAAUCUCUGUUUUUUUUUAGAGACCAUCUCCCCAAUGAAACUACCAUCCCUUUUAUUUUUUAUUAUUUUUUUUUAGAUUAAAAGAGUUAUAGUUAAGCUUUAUAGGGUCUUUUCGUCUUACAGUUUUAAAUAGAAUCUUAACUAUUAUUUUAAUUUUUUUAUUAUUUUAUAAGACAGUGAGAUUUUCGUUUAGCCAUUCAUACUAUCCACUAAUUAAGUGGCGAGCAAUUACGCUACAUUCAUACAGUCAUAGUUACUGCAGCCAUUCAACUUUUUUUUAUUUAACUUAUUUGUUUAAAUCUAAUUAGAGUCAUUGGGC
This 517-nucleotide ribosomal RNA is filed under the name Aglaophenopsis hirsuta. RNAcentral's name for it is "partial 16S ribosomal RNA". The record is from RNAcentral. Lineage: Eukaryota; Metazoa; Cnidaria; Hydrozoa; Leptothecata; Aglaopheniidae.